CCCGGAUGUUAGCGGCGGACGGGUGAGUAACACGUGGGUAACCUGCCUGUAAGACUGGGAUAACUCCGGGAAACCGGAGCUAAUACCGGAUAGUUCCUUGAACCGCAUGGUUCAAGGAUGAAAGACGGUUUCGGCUGUCACUUACAGAUGGACCCGCGGCGCAUUAGCUAGUUGGUGGGGUAAUGGCUCACCAAGGCGACGAUGCGUAGCCGACCUGAGAGGGUGAUCGGCCACACUGGGACUGAGACACGGCCCAGACUCCUACGGGAGGCAGCAGUAGGGAAUCUUCCGCAAUGGACGAAAGUCUGACGGAGCAACGCCGCGUGAGUGAUGAAGGUUUUCGGAUCGUAAAGCUCUGUUGUUAGGGAAGAACAAGUGCGAGAGUAACUGCUCGCACCUUGACGGUACCUAACCAGAAAGCCACGGCUAACUACGUGCCAGCAGCCGCGGUAAUACGUAGGUGGCAAGCGUUGUCCGGAAUUAUUGGGCGUAAAGGGCUCGCAGGCGGUUUCUUAAGUCUGAUGUGAAAGCCCCCGGCUCAACCGGGGAGGGUCAUUGGAAACUGGGAAACUUGAGUGCAGAAGAGGAGAGUGGAAUUCCACGUGUAGCGGUGAAAUGCGUAGAGAUGUGGAGGAACACCAGUGGCGAAGGCGACUCUCUGGUCUGUAACUGACGCUGAGGAGCGAAAGCG
Molecule: ribosomal RNA, 691 nt
Filed under: Bacillus safensis
Lineage: Bacteria; Bacillati; Bacillota; Bacilli; Caryophanales; Bacillaceae
Description: bacterial SSU rRNA
Rfam family: Bacterial small subunit ribosomal RNA
Source: RNAcentral